This 500-nucleotide long non-coding RNA is filed under the name Daucus carota (carrot). Its description in RNAcentral is "long non-coding RNA (DCAR_LNC006074)". Lineage: Eukaryota; Viridiplantae; Streptophyta; Magnoliopsida; Apiales; Apiaceae. The record is from RNAcentral.
ACAAAGAUCUAAAUGUCGUCUCAUGAUUGUAAUUAAACAUGAAAAAACCUAUAGAAUUCCCAUGUCAAUCCUAUAGAAUAUCGAAUACAAAUUUUAAAACCUCACAACAAUAGUAGGGUACACACAAUAGUAAAAGUCCAGGCAUUACACAGAGAGUACACUUUGAAAAGUAGCUCCAUCUGCCAUCAUAAUUGAUUGAGUAAAAAGAGCUAGCUAGCUAGGCCUCUAACAGCAGCAUCAACAACACACAAAUGUUUUUCACCAAUAAUAUGAUCCCAUUUAGACUGGGGGGUGGACUAAGGCUUGUUAAGAGAAAAGAUCCCAUUGAUAUUGAAGUAUGCUGAUAUUCCAGUAUUCACAUCAUCUGGGAACUCAAACCAAAAGGAAUCCUCUUUCCUAACAUCAUAAGCAAUGCAGCACUGGGAUGGAUAAGUAAGGCGAAAAAGGAUCAACUCACCAUUCCUCAACCAGGCUAUUGGUUCAAUGGAAACAUGGCCUUU